Molecule: long non-coding RNA, 1008 nt
Filed under: Betta splendens (Siamese fighting fish)
Lineage: Eukaryota; Metazoa; Chordata; Actinopteri; Anabantiformes; Osphronemidae
Description: lncRNA (ENSBSLG00000009648.1)
Source: RNAcentral
AUGACUUUACAGUCAAAUGGUUUCAAACAAUUUCAUCUCAUGUGUAGUUUAGGUAUUUCCCUGAUUUCCACUCCGGAGGGAGUGCAGGUCACAACCACGGACAAUGUAAAUAAUUUUUCUUUUGUUUGUGUUAAUUUCAGCUCAGAGCCGCUGCUCUACUCUUAUCAGUGGCUGCUGAAGGGAGAGGCUGUAACUGAGGCCCUUAUACAGGCUGCUCGACAGCUUGUUUCCUCACAGAAUACGACCUUUAGAGACGCAUCUGACCUGUCUUGUACAGCACAUGUGUCCACUGGUCCUGAUGAGAAUUUUGAAAAAUCAUGGUUACGCACACAUGCGGACAAACUGACCUCAACCUCUCUAUUCUGGGAUGAACAUAAGUCUGCGCUUGCGAUUUCUCUCACUAACGAACAAGAGAGAUGUGUUGAUGCUUAUUCUACAGAUCCACACGUCCUUCUGUCAAAACAUGACGGAGACAGAUGGCAGGACUUGGGUCCUAUCGUGGACAGAUGUCAACGGGAAGGAGACUGGCAAACGACUUCCGACCCGAAUGUGAUGUAUUCACCUACUUUGCAUACUUACAAAAAACUUUUUCAGUCUAACUUUCUUGCGCAGCGUACAGUGCACUUGGUACCUCAACAUUCCACACACACUCCACACCACGUGUUUUUGUCAGAGGACGCUCUGACGCAGUAUCCAGCCUUACAGGAAGUUCCAGCUUCCCUGUGGGCCACACACAAAUAUAAUGUAGGUUUGAUCAAAGGGUGUGACCCAGUGGUCAUCACGCCAAAAUCUGACCACAGACCAUGCAAACAGCAAUACCCUUUAAAGAGAGAAGCAAUUGAAGGAAUAACACCAGUGUUUAACUCUCUGUUGAAAGCAGGAGUCAUCGUCCCAUGUGACAACUCUCCAGUGAGGACUCCACUCUUCCCAGUUAAGAAAAUCAGAGACAAAGGACAGCCAACAUGUUACAAACAGAAGGGAGGUUUGUCCAGGAUCUGCAGGCAGUAA